CAGCGGCGGACGGGUGAGUAACACGUGGGCAACCUGCCUGUAAGACUGGGAUAACUCCGGGAAACCGGAGCUAAUACCGGAUACUAUGUCAAACCGCAUGGUUUGACAUUCAAAGACGGUUUCGGCUGUCACUUACAGAUGGGCCCGCGGCGCAUUAGCUAGUUGGUGAGGUAAUGGCUCACCAAGGCGACGAUGCGUAGCCGACCUGAGAGGGUGAUCGGCCACACUGGGACUGAGACACGGCCCAGACUCCUACGGGAGGCAGCAGUAGGGAAUCUUCCGCAAUGGACGAAAGUCUGACGGAGCAACGCCGCGUGAGUGAUGAAGGUUUUCGGAUCGUAAAACUCUGUUGUCAGGGAAGAACAAGUGCCGGAGUAACUGCCGGCACCUUGACGGUACCUGACCAGAAAGCCACGGCUAACUACGUGCCAGCAGCCGCGGUAAUACGUAGGUGGCAAGCGUUGUCCGGAAUUAUUGGGCGUAAAGCGCGCGCAGGCGGUUUCUUAAGUCUGAUGUGAAAGCCCCCGGCUCAACCGGGGAGGGUCAUUGGAAACUGGGAAACUUGAGUGCAGAAGAGGAGAGUGGAAUUCCACGUGUAGCGGUGAAAUGCGUAGAGAUGUGGAGGAACACCAGUGGCGAAGGCGACUCUCUGGUCUGUAACUGACGCUGAGGCGCGAAAGCGUGGGGAGCGAACAGGAUUAGAUACCCUGGUAGUCCACGCCGUAACGAUGAGUGCUAAGUGUUAGAGGGUUUCCGCCCUUUAGUGCUGCAGCUAACGCAUU
RNAcentral lists this ribosomal RNA (782 nucleotides) under Metabacillus indicus. RNAcentral describes it as "bacterial SSU rRNA". It matches the Rfam family "Bacterial small subunit ribosomal RNA", at positions 93 to 861 of the family's 1533-position model. The record is from RNAcentral. Lineage: Bacteria; Bacillati; Bacillota; Bacilli; Caryophanales; Bacillaceae.